RNAcentral lists this ribosomal RNA (952 nucleotides) under Klebsiella pneumoniae. RNAcentral describes it as "bacterial SSU rRNA". It matches the Rfam family "Bacterial small subunit ribosomal RNA", at positions 192 to 1125 of the family's 1533-position model. The record is from RNAcentral. RNAcentral also lists the same sequence under 1 other name. Lineage: Bacteria; Pseudomonadati; Pseudomonadota; Gammaproteobacteria; Enterobacterales; Enterobacteriaceae.
GUCGCAAGACCAAAGUGGGGGACCUUCGGGCCUCAUGCCAUCAGAUGUGCCCAGAUGGGAUUAGCUAGUAGGUGGGGUAACGGCUCACCUAGGCGACGAUCCCUAGCUGGUCUGAGAGGAUGACCAGCCACACUGGAACUGAGACACGGUCCAGACUCCUACGGGAGGCAGCAGUGGGGAAUAUUGCACAAUGGGCGCAAGCCUGAUGCAGCCAUGCCGCGUGUGUGAAGAAGGCCUUCGGGUUGUAAAGCACUUUCAGCGGGGAGGAAGGCGUUAAGGUUAAUAACCUUGGCGAUUGACGUUACCCGCAGAAGAAGCACCGGCUAACUCCGUGCCAGCAGCCGCGGUAAUACGGAGGGUGCAAGCGUUAAUCGGAAUUACUGGGCGUAAAGCGCACGCAGGCGGUCUGUCAAGUCGGAUGUGAAAUCCCCGGGCUCAACCUGGGAACUGCAUUCGAAACUGGCAGGCUAGAGUCUUGUAGAGGGGGGUAGAAUUCCAGGUGUAGCGGUGAAAUGCGUAGAGAUCUGGAGGAAUACCGGUGGCGAAGGCGGCCCCCUGGACAAAGACUGACGCUCAGGUGCGAAAGCGUGGGGAGCAAACAGGAUUAGAUACCCUGGUAGUCCACGCCGUAAACGAUGUCGAUUUGGAGGUUGUGCCCUUGAGGCGUGGCUUCCGGAGCUAACGCGUUAAAUCGACCGCCUGGGGAGUACGGCCGCAAGGUUAAAACUCAAAUGAAUUGACGGGGGCCCGCACAAGCGGUGGAGCAUGUGGUUUAAUUCGAUGCAACGCGAAGAACCUUACCUGGUCUUGACAUCCACAGAACUUUCCAGAGAUGGAUUGGUGCCUUCGGGAACUGUGAGACAGGUGCUGCAUGGCUGUCGUCAGCUCGUGUUGUGAAAUGUUGGGUUAAGUCCCGCAACGAGCGCAACCCUUAUCCUUUGUUGCCAGCGGU